AUGGUAGAUGAACCUUUACCCGAGCAGCCAAAAUAUAGCUUCGGUUCUGCCAUGCUAUCUCAUACAUACAGAGGCUUGUGUGAUGCCACGCAAAAAACCUCUUUCGCACAAAAAGCUCCAUUACUUUGUGUCGCCUAUGAGUUUCUACAGUUGUGGUCCUGGGAAUACCUCCCUGUAGGACGACCUCGUAUAGUACAACCCAUAUACCCAUAUGACUUUGGCGAGGGUGCUAGCGCAACUAUGGCCACCAGGUGGACAAAGGCACGGAAAUGUUGGUCUCCAGAUAUUGCGAAAAAUUGUUACCCUAUGUACCACCAGCAGUUUGAGAUACUUGAUGAGGCAGAAGUCACAUGGAACCCGUGGACUCAGGACCAGCUAAAAAUGGUCUUUGAUGCUCGACACUUCACACCAGGCAUGUUGACCGAUAGUGCAUUCUGA
Molecule: ribosomal RNA, 438 nt
Filed under: Triticum aestivum (bread wheat)
Lineage: Eukaryota; Viridiplantae; Streptophyta; Magnoliopsida; Poales; Poaceae
Description: partial small subunit ribosomal RNA
Source: RNAcentral